GGAAGAGAAGUAGCAGAGCUCUAAAGGGAGAAUUAUUUUUUUGCAGUUUCCCCCCAUUUCAUCGCUCGUGGUGGAUAUCCACAUGUUCCAGUACCCUAUUUCAAAAAGAUGAUCUUUUCUCCUUUGAGUUGCCUUGGUAAUCUCAUACGGAAGUCUGGCUUCAGCAGACUGCUCACCGAGGCAUCCUGUGUCAACAUUUGCAACUGAGAUGCCACGGAACUGUCCACUCAUAUCGCCAGCCUGGCGUCUCUCCUGUGCUGCCGUAUGAAUCUCAAGGGCCGUCUUCUUUGCACCGAGCGACAGAUGAUAUUGGUAGUGAAAACACAAAACACGGAGUCAAGAAGAACUGGUCGCUUCACAUGUCGGUCCUGCCGGGCACUAACAAGG
Herpailurus yagouaroundi (jaguarundi) is the source of this 387-nucleotide long non-coding RNA. RefSeq lists it as uncharacterized. The transcript has 4 exons. NCBI's taxonomy places the organism in Eukaryota, Metazoa, Chordata, Mammalia, Carnivora, Felidae. The record is from RefSeq and is a predicted model, not a curated record.